UACGGGGGGGGCAAGCGUUGUUCGGAAUUACUGGGCGUAAAGCGCGCGUAGGCGGCUUUGUAAGUUAGAGGUGAAAGCCCGGGGCUCAACUCCGGAAUUGCCUUUAAGACUGCAUCGCUAGAAUUGUGGAGAGGUAAGUGGAAUUCCGAGUGUAGAGGUGAAAUUCGUAGAUAUUCGCAAGAACACCAGUGGCGAAGGCGGCUCACUGGCCCGGUACUGACGCUGAGGUGCGAAAGCGUGGGGAGCAAACAGG
Molecule: ribosomal RNA, 253 nt
Filed under: uncultured bacterium
Lineage: Bacteria
Description: partial 16S ribosomal RNA
Rfam family: Bacterial small subunit ribosomal RNA
Source: RNAcentral